This 468-nucleotide ribosomal RNA is filed under the name uncultured bacterium. Its description in RNAcentral is "partial 16S ribosomal RNA". It matches the Rfam family "Bacterial small subunit ribosomal RNA", at positions 28 to 507 of the family's 1533-position model. The record is from RNAcentral.
GACGAACGCUGGCGGCGUGCUUAACACAUGCAAGUCGAACGGAAAGGCCCUGCUUUUGUGGGGUGCUCGAGUGGCGAACGGGUGAGUAACACGUGAGUAACCUGCCCUUGACUUUGGGAUAACUUCAGGAAACUGGGGCUAAUACCGGAUAGGAGCUCCUGCUGCAUGGUGGGGGUUGGAAAGUUUCGGCGGUUGGGGAUGGACUCGCGGCUUAUCAGCUUGUUGGUGGGGUAGUGGCUUACCAAGGCUUUGACGGGUAGCCGGCCUGAGGGGGUGACCGGCCACAUUGGGACUGAGAUACGGCCCAGACUCCUACGGGAGGCAGCAGUGGGGAAUAUUGCACAAUGGGCGGAAGCCUGAUGCAGCGACGCCGCGUGCGGGAUGACGGCCUUCGGGUUGUAAACCGCUUUCGCCUGUGACGAAGCGUGAGUGACGGUAAUGGGUAAAGAAGCACCGGCUAACUACGUG